Molecule: ribosomal RNA, 885 nt
Filed under: uncultured bacterium
Lineage: Bacteria
Description: bacterial SSU rRNA
Rfam family: Bacterial small subunit ribosomal RNA
Source: RNAcentral
AGAGUUUGAUCCUGGCUCAGGAUAAACGCUAGCGGCGCGCCUAAUGCAUGCAAGUCGAGCGAUGAGGUCCUUCGGGGCCAUCAGCGGCAAACGGGUGAGUAACACAUGGGUAACCUGCCUUCAAGCCGGGGAUAACGGAUGGAAACGUUCGCUAAUACCCGAUGCGUACGCUUAAGAGGAGACUGUGAGCGUAGAAAGUUACGGCGCUUGGAGAGGGGCCCGUGGCCCAUCAGUUAGUUGGUAGGGUAACGGCCUACCAAGGCGAAGACGGGUAGGGGGUGUGAGAGCACGGCCCCCCACAAUGGGACUGAGAGACGGCCCAUACUCUUACGGGAGGCAGCAGCAGGGAAUCUUGCGCAAUGGACGGGAGUCCGACGCAGCGACGCCGCGUGGGUGAAGACGGCCUUCGGGUUGUAAAGCCCUUUUCUGGGGGAAGAGAGAGGACGGUACUCCAGGAAUAAGCCUCGGCGAACUACGUGCCAGCAGCCGCGGUAAAACGUAGGAGGCGAGCGUUAUCCGGAUUUAUUGGGCGUAAAGCGCGUGCAGGCUGUUUGGAAAGUUGAAUGUGAAAUCUCCUGGCUUAACUGGGAGGGGUCGUUCAAAACUACCAAGCUAGAGAAUGGGAGAGGGAAGUGGAAUUCCGGGUGUAGUGGUGAAAUGCGUAGAUAUCCGGAGGAACACCAGUGGCGAAAGCGGCUUCCUAGACCAUUUCUGACGCUCAGACGCGAAAGCUAGGGGAGCGAACGGGAUUAGAGACCCCGGUAGUCCUAGCUGUAAACGAUGUAGACUUGGCGGUUGGGCGGAGUUAAAUCUGCCAGUGCCGGAGCUAACGCGUUAAGUCUACCGCCUGGGGACUACGACCGCAAGGGUAAACUCAAAUGAAUU